CAGAGACGGUGCCAGAACUGGGACCAGACCUGGCUGUCAGGCCAUGGUGGAAGACACCUGGCUGAUUGGCCAACAGCAGAUACUGAAACACCCUCCGGGUGGGAGAAGUCAACAGUUAACAAUGGAAGAAGGCAGCAUGACAAGAGCCCUCAGCUCAGCAUCAUAAACACAACGGACAUGGAGAUCUUCUCUGUGACUGAUUCCCACGUGAGC
This is a long non-coding RNA of Dama dama (fallow deer), 213 nucleotides long. RefSeq lists it as uncharacterized. The record is from RefSeq and is a predicted model, not a curated record. The transcript has 3 exons. Lineage: Eukaryota; Metazoa; Chordata; Mammalia; Artiodactyla; Cervidae.